This 73-nucleotide transfer RNA is filed under the name Clostridium sp. Its description in RNAcentral is "tRNA-Lys". It matches the Rfam family "tRNA". Rfam says of the family: Transfer RNA (tRNA) molecules are approximately 80 nucleotides in length. Their secondary structure includes four short double-helical elements and three loops (D, anti-codon, and T loops). Further hydrogen bonds mediate the characteristic L-shaped molecular structure. tRNAs have two regions of fundamental functional importance: the anti-codon, which is responsible for specific mRNA codon recognition, and the 3' end, to which the tRNAs corresponding amino acid is attached (by aminoacyl-tRNA synthetases). tRNAs cope with the degeneracy of the genetic code in two manners: having more than one tRNA (with a specific anti-codon) for a particular amino acid; and 'wobble' base-pairing, i.e. permitting non-standard base-pairing at the 3rd anti-codon position. RNAcentral also lists the same sequence under 3 other names. The record is from RNAcentral. Lineage: Bacteria; Bacillati; Bacillota; Clostridia; Eubacteriales; Clostridiaceae.
GGGACAUUAGCUCAGGUGGUAGAGCACUUGACUUUUAAUCAAGUUGUCCGGGGUUCGAAUCCCCGAUGUCUCA